CGAAUAUUUUUUAAUCCAAAUUACUGCAACAAUGACUCAAUAAAUCUAUACAAAAGUGAGACCCCAGAAUUGGGUGGCGGCCGGUGACUUCCGGCUUCACUUUUGUAUAGUAUACUGAUGCGUUUACAUACAGUAUCCAGUCUUAUUUCAGAUCAUUGGACUAUACUGAAAACUCAAAAGUAGCAAGAGAAGUCAGAGAAUGUCAACAUCCCUGCUGCUGAUAAAAAUUCAGCGGUGUUCAGUAAAUAUUUCUUAAUGUAUUGAUAUGUAUUGUGUACAUGAAUUAAGGUAUGUGAUUUUAUGUAAAAUUAAAAUUUUAGUGUGCUUUGUCUCGGAACUCGCGGAAACUCGCGGAAAUAGCUACAUGAAAAUAAUAUAUUGGUGUUCCGAGCGAUCAAGUGUCUUCGUUUGGAGGUUCAUAGUAUGUGCAUGUCACCGUACUACUCACCUUCUGAGUUCGAAUAGUUUCGUGCCUCGAUUGUGUUUUUAAUCCAAGCUGUGCAACACUGCCGGGCAACAAUGGCCACGUAUUGGCAAUAAUAAAAUCUAAUUUAACAUGCAGUAAAAAGCUUUCCUUUAUUGAAUGAUACUAUAUUAAUGCUAAUAUGUUGACCAUUUAGCCACCAGCACUGAAGGUUCUUAAAAUAAUGGGCUUUUGGUAUGCAUUUGUAGGUGAUACAAGUCAUAUAACUACCUGCAAAAUAAAAAUCACUUUAAUUAUUAAUAAACCUAUAGGCUAUAUUAAUUAAACGGGUUCGCUGUUUGUAGUUUUCUCGUUUUCUCUACCUACACUGCCACUAGAACCGACCGGCUGUUCGAGAUCUUUAUACUGUAAAAUAUUGCACUGAUCCAGUAUUCGUAAACGAUUCCUAUCGAAUCUAAUUUGUAAACUAUGAUAAAUCCAAAUAUACAGUAUAAAACUACAGAGCAGAUACUGUAUAAAGAAGAGCCGGCGUAUUUGUACAUGUAUUUGAAAAUUUGUACAUUUCUAGGAGUGAGUUUACAAACUCUUGAACAACGCUAACGGUGCGUCUGCCAACAGGCAAAAACCACUUAUUACAAAGGUGAUAGACGUUUAAAGAAAACACAUGAACAUGAGUCAUGAGAACAAGGGACAAUUACUGUAAAGCAGAUAAACUUUUGACACGUUUGAAUCUCAGGUUA
Paramuricea clavata is the source of this 1164-nucleotide non-coding RNA. The record is from the annotation of a GenBank genome assembly. Lineage: Eukaryota; Metazoa; Cnidaria; Anthozoa; Malacalcyonacea; Plexauridae.